GCUGGGCAUGGUGACUCAUGCCUGUAAUCCCAGCAUCUUGGGAGGCUGAGGCAGGAGGAUUGCUUGAGUCCAGGAGUUUGAGACCAGCCUGGGCAACAAAGUGAGACCUUGUCUCUA
This 117-nucleotide non-coding RNA is filed under the name Nomascus leucogenys (northern white-cheeked gibbon). The record is from Rfam by way of RNAcentral. Lineage: Eukaryota; Metazoa; Chordata; Mammalia; Primates; Hylobatidae.